This 497-nucleotide ribosomal RNA is filed under the name uncultured bacterium. RNAcentral describes it as "partial 16S ribosomal RNA". It matches the Rfam family "Bacterial small subunit ribosomal RNA", at positions 28 to 507 of the family's 1533-position model. The record is from RNAcentral.
GAUGAACGCUGGCGGCGUGCCUAAUACAUGCAAGUCGAGCGAACAGACGAGGAGCUUGCUCCUCUGACGUUAGCGGCGGACGGGUGAGUAACACGUGGAUAACCUACCUAUAAGACUGGGAUAACUUCGGGAAACCGGAGCUAAUACCGGAUAAUAUAUUGAACCGCAUGGUUCAAUAGUGAAGGACGGUUUUGCUGGCACUUAUAGAUGGAUCCGCGCCGCAUUAGCUAGUUGGUAAGGUAACGGCUUACCAAGGCGACGAUGCGUAGCCGACCUGAGAGGGUGAUCGGCCACAUUGGAGCUGAGACACGGUCCAGAGUCCUACGGGAGGCAGCAGUAGGGAAUCUUCCGCAGUGGGCGAAAGCAUGACGGAGCAACGCCGCGUGAGUGAUGAAGGUCUUCGGAUCGUAAAACUCUGUUAUUAGGGAAGAACAAAUGUGUAAGUAACUAUGCACGUCUUGACGGUACCUAAUCAGAAAGCCACGGCUAACUACGUG